AUACGGAGGGGGCUAGCGUUGUUCGGAUUUACUGGGCGUAAAGCGCACGUAGGCGGUAUAUCAAGUUAGGCGUGAAAGCCCCGGGCUCAACCCGGGAACUGCGCUUAUUACUGAUAAACUAGAGUCCGGGAGAGGGUGGCGGAAUUCCCAGUGUAGAGGUGAAAUUCGUAGAUAUUGGGAAGAACACCAGUUGCGAAGGCGGCCACCUGGACCGGUACUGACGCUGAGGUGCGAAAGCGUGGGGAGCAAACAGGAUUAGAAACCCCUGUAGUCC
This 274-nucleotide ribosomal RNA is filed under the name uncultured bacterium. RNAcentral's name for it is "partial 16S ribosomal RNA". It matches the Rfam family "Bacterial small subunit ribosomal RNA", at positions 523 to 796 of the family's 1533-position model. The record is from RNAcentral.